CACGUAGGGGGCGAGCGUUGUCCGGAUUUAUUGGGCGUAAAGAGCUCGUAGGCGGUUUGGCAAGUCGGGUGUGAAAUUUCGAGGCUCAACCUCGAAACGCCACUCGAUACUGCCAUGACUGGAGUCCGGUAGAGGAGUGCGGAAUUCCUGGUGUAGCGGUGAAAUGCGCAGAUAUCAGGAGGAACACCGGUGGCGAAGGCGGGUCUCUGGGCAGUAACUGACGCUGAGGAGCGAAAGCGUGGGGAGCGAACAGG
Molecule: ribosomal RNA, 254 nt
Filed under: uncultured bacterium
Lineage: Bacteria
Description: partial 16S ribosomal RNA
Rfam family: Bacterial small subunit ribosomal RNA
Source: RNAcentral